ACUCCUACGGGAGGCAGCAGUGGGGAAUAUUGCACAAUGGGCGCAAGCCUGAUGCAGCCAUGCCGCGUGUAUGAAGAAGGCCUUCGGGUUGUAAAGUACUUUCAGCAGUGAGGAAGGCGGGUACGUUAAUAGCGUGCUCGUUUGACGUUAGCUGCAGAAGAAGCACCGGCUAACUCCGUGCCAGCAGCCGCGGUAAUACGGAGGGUGCGAGCGUUAUCCGGAUUUAUUGGGUUUAAAGGGUCCGUAGGCGGAUUAAUAAGUCAGUGGUGAAAUCCCAUCGCUUAACGAUGGAACUGCCAUUGAUACUGUUAGUCUUGAAUGAGGGUGCAGUGGUUGGAAUGUGUAGUGUAGCGGUGAAAUGCAUAGAUAUUACACAGAACACCGAUUGCGAAGGCAGAUCACUAACCCUAAAUUGACGCUGAGGGACGAAAGCGUGGGG
Molecule: ribosomal RNA, 439 nt
Filed under: uncultured bacterium
Lineage: Bacteria
Description: bacterial SSU rRNA
Rfam family: Bacterial small subunit ribosomal RNA
Source: RNAcentral